GAUGAACGCUGGCGGCGUGCCUAAUACAUGCAAGUCGAGCGAACAGACGAGGAGCUUGCUCCUCUGACGUUAGCGGCGGACGGGUGAGUAACACGUGGAUAACCUACCUAUAAGACUGGUAUAACUUCGGGAAACCGGAGCUAAUACCGGAUAAUAUAUUGAACCGCAUGGUUCAAUAGUGAAAGACGGUUUUGCUGUCACUUAUAGAUGGAUCCGCGCCGCAUUAGCUAGUUGGUAAGGUAACGGCUUACCAAGGCAACGAUGCGUAGCCGACCGGAGAGGGGGAUCGGCCACACUGGAACUGAGACACGGUCCAGACUCCUACGGGAGGCAGCAGUAGGGAAUCUUCCGCAAUGGGCGAAAGCCUGACGGAGCAACGCCGCGUGAGUGAUGAAGGUCUUCGGAUCGUAAAACUCUGUUAUUAGGGAAGAACAAAUGUGUAAGUAACUAUGCACGUCUUGACGGUAACUAAUCAGAAAGCCACGGCUGACUACGUG
This 497-nucleotide ribosomal RNA is filed under the name uncultured bacterium. RNAcentral describes it as "partial 16S ribosomal RNA". It matches the Rfam family "Bacterial small subunit ribosomal RNA", at positions 28 to 507 of the family's 1533-position model. The record is from RNAcentral.